Weissella koreensis KACC 15510 is the source of this 73-nucleotide non-coding RNA. The record is from Rfam. Lineage: Bacteria; Bacillati; Bacillota; Bacilli; Lactobacillales; Lactobacillaceae.
GCCGACUUAGCUCAGUUGGUAGAGCAUCGCUCUUGUAAAGCGGAGGUCGAAGGUUCGAACCCUUUAGUCGGCA